RNAcentral lists this unclassified non-coding RNA (282 nucleotides) under uncultured fungus. RNAcentral describes it as "partial contains small subunit ribosomal RNA, internal transcribed spacer 1, and 5.8S ribosomal RNA". The stretch from base 1 to 73 matches the Rfam family "Eukaryotic small subunit ribosomal RNA", at positions 1759 to 1831 of the family's 1831-position model. The record is from RNAcentral. Lineage: Eukaryota; Fungi.
GCAAACUUGGUCAUUUAGAGGAAGUAAAAGUCGUAACAAGGUUUCCGUAGGUGAACCUGCGGAAGGAUCAUUAAGCAUAGGUGGCUUUACAGCCACAGGGAUACGGAACCCCUACAAGCCGUUCACACCUUGUUUUUUAAGCCCCUUGUUUCCUUAGCAGGCCUGCCUGCUAAUAGGGACCACCACAAACCCUUUGUUUCAAACAGUUGUCUGAUGUAUAAAUCAAUAUUUAAAACUUUCAACAACGGAUCUCUUGGUUCUAGCAUCGAUGAAGAACGCAGC